Megaselia scalaris is the source of this 46-nucleotide non-coding RNA. The record is from Rfam. NCBI's taxonomy places the organism in Eukaryota, Metazoa, Arthropoda, Insecta, Diptera, Phoridae.
ACACCGGUCCUUUUCAGGACCAACUAAUUUUGUUAAAAAAGAUAUA